AUGUUAUCCUAUUCUAUUUACUGUACUCUUUUCUUGUUUUUAUCUCUACUCUUCUGUCAUUUUAUCCACUCCUCUCUACCUUCUGUCCAGGAGGUUUGUGAUGAAGUAAUUAAAUUGUGGCAACUUUCUGGAAUAUAUUUAAUGUCCUCUCUUUGUCUGUUAAUCUUUCUGUUAGGAUGCAACUCAACUAUAGGGAGAAAAAGGUCGGCAUCAGAGAGAACAGAAGCCCAGAGAAGUACAAUUAUGUACACACUGUUCUUCAGGAGAAAAAGAGACUUAAAAGGGAGGCUGGGAGCACACAGAGGACACCGAUGCAACUCAACUAUAGGGUGGAAAAGGUCGGCAUCAGAGAGAACAGAAGCCCAGAGAAUUACAAGUAUGUACACACUGUUCUUCAGGAGAAAAAGAGACUUAAAAGGGAGGCUGGGAGCACACAGAGGACACCGUACGUUAUAGCCUUUCGAACACACCCUGAACUUUUAACCCGAACAUGCCUGGCCGAGGCACACAGACAGAAGCGUGUUCAUCCAGUAUAUAAUUUCAGCAAAUCCAUUAUAUCCAUAUAACACAGGCUGACCUGUCCACCCAAACAUGCCUGGCCGAGGCACACAGACAGAGCCUUUCGUUCAGUGGAUAACUGCAGCAGAUUUAUUAUGUCAGGGAACAUCAAGUUCCACAGUUUAUUAAAUUAGCUUCACAAUAUGUAACACUCUGCCAUGAUGCUAGAGAAACACACGAAUGCUGAUCAGAACCACUAUAGUUAUAGUAUAAUGUUUUUUAUUAUUACUGUCAUUUCAUUUAUUUGUAUUUAACCUACGAAUUGUAUUUUUUGUUUUGUAUAAUUGAUUCUUGAUGCUUUGGCAACAUAGUUCUCAUAACAUUCAUGCAGAUGACUAAUCGCAAAUCACAAAACUAGAGACCUGCCUAUAUGCAGUGAAGAUAUAUAUAUAUAUUUAACUCAUUUACCACCUCAGUUUCUUUACUAUCAAUAGUGAUGUAAAAUUUCUCUAGGGCUUUCCUUCUUAUUGAGAAGCACAUGGAUACUGUUUUUUUUUUGUGAUUAAGUGUUAAGUGAUUCCUUUGUAGCCAUUCUGAAACAGUAACCAUCUGUCUGCUUAAGAUCUCUGCAGACUUCUUUAAAUCUAAACUCAAAACUCACUUCUUCGAUUUAGCCUUUAAUUAGCCCUGAUAUCAACUGUAAGCUUCUCAGUGGGUCAGUGUGUCUCAAUGAGUUCCUAUAGUACUAGAGUUGCACUGCGCUGCCGACGAGAAACGAUCUGUUUAUUCUGCUCAAUAUCGCAUUUCUCUAACCUUUGUUUUUUGUUUUAUGUUCCCACAAGCUGCAAGCUAUGUCACUCUCUACACUCUAUAGCUUCUCCUCCUCCUCCUCUCUCUCCUCCUCCGCUCUUUCUUUCAGGCUCCCUUCUGAUGGACCACGGCCCCCUGGUACAAUCUACCGUUUCCGGGCUCCAGCUACCUUGAAACACGGACUGAUCUGGAUCGUCGCACCCUGGGCUCUGCUGGAUCAUUGCUCUCCUCUGCUUCACUAUCUCCUCAUAUCUAUAUUUCUGUUAACCUUGAUCCCUCUCUCUGUCUAUUACUAAUGAUCUUGUGUGUCCUGCCCUCUUCCAGGUCAUCAUGGUGGACAGGAGGUCGUCUGGCUCGGGCUCCACUUGGUGAUGCCUCGUCCUGCUCGGUCGUCUCCUGAAUCAACUCACUUUACAUAACUUGUAUCAGACUUUCUGUUAAUGUAAUUUGUAAACUGUGAAUUGUUGCUCUUUUCUGAACACGCAACAUCUAUUGCAUGUCUGUCCGUCCUGGAAGAGUGAUCCCUCCUCUGUGGCUCUUCCUGAGGUUUCUUCCAUAGUUUAGUUUUUUUUUUACCGUUAAAAGGUCUUUAUUCCAUCAACGUGAAGUUUUUCCUCACUCAAAUCGAGGUUCUAAGGACAGAGGAUGUUGUUCACUGUACAGAUCAUAAAGCCCACUGAGGCAAUGUGACAGUGAUUUUGGGCUAUAUAAAUAAGAUUGUUCAGAUGCAUGCCAAUAAGGGGGGAGGUAGGGGGAGAGAGAGAUUCUGGCGAUAUUAAAAUUAUUUACAUUAAAAUGGUAAGCGUGACACAGAGAUUUCUUGAGUGAGAAGUACAUAAACUAGUGUGUAACUUUUGUCUUAUGAUUGCCUGCAUGACAACCAGUGAGAAGAGUGGCAAGCUGCAAAUUGAAAAAACGGUAGGAAGUUCAACACGAACAUCGUAGAGUUUUUUACUGUUUGCACUACUGCUAAUGCUUCAAAUGAAAUGUCUCAGUGUGCUAACAUUCGGAUUUCUGCGUUGCUGUCAAAUCCGUGUCGAUCCAUGUUUGUUUCCUUAGCUUUAUGAAUGUUUGAUGAAGUGAAUUUCAGGGACCGCUAUUUGACGCGAGUGCUGUACUUCCUGGUUUGCCGCGUUGCAUCUUGGGAGAUGUAGUGUCCUAUUACAGAUAUAGACUAAAUGCGUUUUUGCACAGACCUUUCGGUAGAAUUUGAAAAUGGUGCAUAAUGUUUGACAUAUGAAACGUGUAUGUGAAAAGAAUUAUACAUUUUAGUAUUAUAUAUUUCUACUUUUGACUUGCAUAUGAUGUUCAUUAUACUAUUACUAGUUGAUUAACAUUUGAUGAUAUUUGUCAUGGGAUAUGGGUUGAUAUGUUAUUUAUUAUAUUGCUUAUUGUUACUGGGCUAUUGUGGUGAGUGAGCUGUGAUGAUUGUGUUAUGCACAUGGAAAAUGAAACGUAACAUUCCUUAUCUUUCAGGUUUAUUACCGCUUCCCCCUUUCAAGAAAUAAAAACAUACAAAAGUGGAAUACUGAGUGAUGUCCUUUCCUUUUUGGGUUGCCCUCCGUGGGGAGAAACGACAGUUGUGCUUCAUAACUCUCAGGGGGGAAUACAUCACUGCGUGUCAUACAUAAAGAGAUGUGUCAAUGUAAGAUUGUAAGACUAAUUUAUUUAUCUUUAUUGAUACUAUCAUUAGUCUCAUUACCACUUAUUUUACUAUUGUCUAUUAUCUCACACACUGUCAAUAAGACAACGGGAGAAACUAUUUUGUUCUUCUACUUAUGAAGCAUACGUUUAUCCAUUUAAAGACAAUGACAUCCGUUACACAGACCCUAAACUCUUCUUCACUUGCAAAUGCAAACGUACUUGCAUGUCGACAGCCCAUCAGAUACAUCGUCUUCUCAUCUGCAAUGGUCAGAAUUAGCAGAAUGUCUCUGUACUGAGAAAUGAAGCAGACAGACACAGACAUAUGCACACCCAAACAAGGUCAUCACAAACUUCUUCAUAAUUGUAUGCCCGCCACAGACUGAGAAACAGGAACUGAGACACGAUUUAUUGUGUUAUUUUGUAGUGUUUUAAUGACUUUAAAUAGAGAGGGUUAGAUACAUAAACCAUAAACUGACAAUCUAAACAUGAAGACACAAAAAAAUUAGAUAGCUAUUGCUGCCCAAUAUAUAUCAGCAUGAGUAGACAGACACACACACAAGUACAGGAAUACAAGCACACACACAUAUAUA
This is a long non-coding RNA of Sparus aurata (gilthead seabream), 3542 nucleotides long. The record is from Ensembl. NCBI's taxonomy places the organism in Eukaryota, Metazoa, Chordata, Actinopteri, Spariformes, Sparidae.